Callorhinus ursinus (northern fur seal) is the source of this 286-nucleotide long non-coding RNA. RefSeq lists it as uncharacterized. Lineage: Eukaryota; Metazoa; Chordata; Mammalia; Carnivora; Otariidae. The record is from RefSeq and is a predicted model, not a curated record.
ACACUUUCUCAACUGGGAAGCUUCCUACAUGGUUAUGCCUGGAACAGGGGUCACAGCGUGGGUCCUGAGGAGGCUCUGAGGUUGAGCUCAGUUCAGAGAUGAUGCUUUCCCCAAAACCAGUUCACCAGAGGAGAUGUCAUGGUAGUGAUGUUCCCCAAGAGACCAGAGACCAGAGACCAGAUCGACAUAGGAAGAAGUACAUUGCUGUGUGUUUGUAACUCAGGCCAUCAUUUGAGGGUGGUGAAAAUAUUACGAAGAAAAUAGACCAGGAAAUUUUGAGCCAAGG